Molecule: microRNA precursor, 212 nt
Organism: Oryza sativa Japonica Group (Japanese rice)
Lineage: Eukaryota; Viridiplantae; Streptophyta; Magnoliopsida; Poales; Poaceae
Rfam family: MIR812 microRNA precursor family
Source: Rfam
AAAACGACAAACCCUGGUUUCCGUGUCCAACGUUUGACCGUCCGUCUUAUUUGAAAAAAUUAUGAAAAAAAUUAAAAAGACAAAUCACGUAUAAAAUAUUAAUCAUAUUUUAUCAUCUAACAACAAUGAAAAUACGAGUUAUAAAAAAAUUCAUAUAAUACGAUAAUACGGACAGUUAAAGUUGGACACAGAAAUCCAGGGUUUGUCUUUUU